Molecule: transfer RNA, 63 nt
Filed under: Ixodes australiensis
Lineage: Eukaryota; Metazoa; Arthropoda; Arachnida; Ixodida; Ixodidae
Description: tRNA-Val
Source: RNAcentral
UAGGGUGAAAUCAUAAAUGAUAUUUCAUUUACAAUGAAAAUUAGUCUUUUAAGACCAUCUUUA